This 478-nucleotide ribosomal RNA is filed under the name uncultured bacterium. RNAcentral describes it as "partial 16S ribosomal RNA". It matches the Rfam family "Bacterial small subunit ribosomal RNA", at positions 28 to 523 of the family's 1533-position model. The record is from RNAcentral.
GACGAACGCUGGCGGCGUGCUUAACACAUGCAAGUCGAACGGUAAGGCCCUUCGGGGUACACGAGUGGCGAACGGGUGAGUAACACGUGGGUGAUCUGCCCUGCACUUCGGGAUAAGCCUGGGAAACUGGGUCUAAUACCGGAUAGGACUCCGGACUGCAUGGUCUGGGGUGGAAAGCUUUUGCGGUGUGGGAUGGGCCCGCGGCCUAUCAGCUUGUUGGUGGGGUGAUGGCCUACCAAGGCGACGACGGGUAGCCGGCCUGAGAGGGUGACCGGCCACACUGGGACUGAGAGACGGGCCAGACUCCGACGGGAGGCAGCAGCGCGGAAUAUUGCACAAUGGGCGCAAGCCUGAUGCAGCGACGCCGCGUGAGGGAUGACGGCCUUCGGGUUGUAAACCUCUUUCAGCACAGACGAAGCGCAAGUGACGGUAUGUGCAGAAGAAGGACCGGCCAACUACGUGCCAGCCGCCGCCGUAA